GGAAGAGUACAAAUGGAAAAUUGACGGGUGUUGGCUCGUUGAGUUGUCAUUUAGGAGCGUCAGUUCGGAGUGGUCCCUCGAGGUUUUCCAAUAAGUCUUCUGGAAAGGAGCGCCAGAGAAGGUGAGAGCCCUGUGAUUGGAGAUUGCGUGACGAAGCGGGGGAGAGAACGAGAAGUGGCGUGGUAGGAGUAGAGCUUCUUGGGAUUGAAGCUCGAAGGGGCAGGGGCACUCCUGCUAAUGCUAAAUAUGAGUUGUAAACCGAUAGAGAACAAGUACUGUGAAGGAAAGAUGAAAAGGACCGCUGGCGCGGAGUGAAAAGAACCUGAAACCGGACAAGGGGAACCGAAGGAAAGG
Molecule: ribosomal RNA, 354 nt
Filed under: Strombidium rassoulzadegani
Lineage: Eukaryota; Ciliophora; Spirotrichea; Strombidiidae
Description: partial Eukaryotic large subunit ribosomal RNA
Rfam family: Eukaryotic large subunit ribosomal RNA
Source: RNAcentral